Molecule: transfer RNA, 35 nt
Filed under: Pseudognaphalium semilanatum
Lineage: Eukaryota; Viridiplantae; Streptophyta; Magnoliopsida; Asterales; Asteraceae
Description: partial tRNA-Ala
Source: RNAcentral
GUCGGGGGACCUGAGAGGCGGUGGUUUACCCUGCG